GGCUCAGAUUGAACGCUGGCGGCAGGCCUAACACAUGCAAGUCGAGCGGCAGCACUUCGGGUGGCGAGCGGCGAACGGGUGAGUAAUACAUGGGAAUCUGCCCAGUAGUGGGGGAUAACUUCGGGAAACUGGAGGUAAUACCGCAUACGUCCUACGGGAGAAAGCAGGGGAUCGUAAGACCUUGCGCUAUUGGAGGAGCCCAUGUCCGAUUAGCUAGUUGGUGAGGUAAAGGCUCACCAAGGCGACGAUCGGUAACUGGUCUGAGAGGAUGGUCAGUCACACUGGAACUGAGACACGGUCCAGACUCCUACGGGAGGCAGCAGUGGGGAAUAUUGGACAAUGGGGGCAACCCUGAUCCAGCAAUGCCGCGUGUGUGAAGAAGGCCUUAGGGUUGUAAAACACUUUCAGCAAUGAAGAAGCAUUUCAACAGUAAUACAGUUGUUGUGUUGACGUUAAUUGUAGAAGAAGUACUGGCUAACUCUGUG
This 485-nucleotide ribosomal RNA is filed under the name uncultured bacterium. Its description in RNAcentral is "bacterial SSU rRNA". It matches the Rfam family "Bacterial small subunit ribosomal RNA", at positions 21 to 507 of the family's 1533-position model. The record is from RNAcentral.